ACCAGAGUAACAAUUGGAGGGCAAGUCUGGUGCCAGCAGCCGCGGUAAUUCCAGCUCCAAUAGCGUAUAUUAAACUUGUUGCAGUUAAAAAGCUCGUCCUUGAAUUUCUGCGUUGCCCGACUCGGCUACUUGCCUUGUCUGGUUUCAAUUUUGGGGUUUUCCCCUUUUUACUUUGAGAAAAUUAGAGUGUUUCUCUCAGACUUGUGUCUUGAAUACUUCAGCAUGGAAUAAUAAAGUAGGACUUUGGUUCUAUUUUGUUGGUUUGUGAACCUUAGUAAUGGUUAAUAGAGUCAGAUUGGGGGAAGAAUUAAUUAUUAACUGGCACAGGUGAAAUUCUUAGAUUUGUUACAGACGAACUAC
This 360-nucleotide ribosomal RNA is filed under the name Babesia gibsoni. RNAcentral describes it as "SSU rRNA". It matches the Rfam family "Eukaryotic small subunit ribosomal RNA", at positions 535 to 943 of the family's 1831-position model. Lineage: Eukaryota; Apicomplexa; Aconoidasida; Piroplasmida; Babesiidae. The record is from RNAcentral.